Molecule: ribosomal RNA, 204 nt
Filed under: uncultured bacterium
Lineage: Bacteria
Description: partial 16S ribosomal RNA
Rfam family: Bacterial small subunit ribosomal RNA
Source: RNAcentral
CGCAGGCGGCAUCGCAAGUCGGUCUUAAAAGUGCGGGGCUUAACCCCGUGAGGGGACCGAAACUGUGAAGCUCGAGUGUCGGAGAGGAAAGCGGAAUUCCUAGUGUAGCGGUGAAAUGCGUAGAUAUUAGGAGGAACACCAGUGGCGAAAGCGGCUUUCCGGACGACAACUGACGCUGAGGCGCGAAAGCCAGGGGAGCAAACG